AUUGAACGCUGGCGGCAUGCUUUACACAUGCAAGUCGAACGGCAGCGCGGGCUUCGGCCUGGCGGCGAGUGGCGAACGGGUGAGUAAUGCAUCGGAACGUGCCCAGUAGUGGGGGAUAGCCCGGCGAAAGCCGGAUUAAUACCGCAUACGACCUGAGGGUGAAAGCGGGGGACCGAAAGGCCUCGCGCUAUUGGAGCGGCCGAUGUCGGAUUAGCUAGUUGGUGGGGUAAAGGCUUACCAAGGCGACGAUCCGUAGCUGGUCUGAGAGGACGACCAGCCACAGGGGGAGGGAGACAGGGCCCAGACUCCGGCGGGAGGCGGCAGGGGGGAAUGUUGGACAAGGGGGGCAACCCUGACCCGGCCGUGCCGCGGGAGGGAAGAAGGCGUGCGGGUUGUAAAGCGGUUUUGUUGGGGAAGAAACCCUCUGGGCUAAACCCCCGGGGGGAGGACGGUACCGAAAAAAAAAGCCCCGGCUAACUCCGUG
This 484-nucleotide ribosomal RNA is filed under the name uncultured bacterium. RNAcentral's name for it is "partial 16S ribosomal RNA". It matches the Rfam family "Bacterial small subunit ribosomal RNA", at positions 28 to 507 of the family's 1533-position model. The record is from RNAcentral.